Molecule: non-coding RNA, 1175 nt
Organism: Pelobates cultripes (western spadefoot toad)
Lineage: Eukaryota; Metazoa; Chordata; Amphibia; Anura; Pelobatidae
Source: the annotation of a GenBank genome assembly
UAUAUUUAUUUUUAUACUAUAUGUGUUUUAAUUUGUAACCUAAUAAAUUCAAAGUUAUUCCAAUUCAAGUCAUUGAAGCCUUCAGGAAUCUUCAUUGGGGGAGUGCCAUCCCUAGAAAGUGACACUUUGCUUACCACCCUCAGAGCCAGGAAUUUAAGACUCUUAAAAAGGUGAGCGCUAUACCUACCUUAGUUGGAUUACCUAUAUUCUAUAAAGUACCGCACAUUUGGUCGCUUUUUUCUCCCUCUUUUUGUAUUUCUCCCGGAUGGAACAUCAGUUAUUAAGUGGUGUGUUGCUGCCCUAAAAGCAAAAAGGUUUUCCUUACAGAGCCAAUAACAUAUAGGCUCCAGACUAUGUGAGUGGUUCUAUUUUAUUUACCCAUCACCGAUUAUUGUCCAAGACCAUCUGCACUAUUAACUUUAUAUUUUCUUCUUUUCCAUAUGUAUCAUUUGCAUUUGUUUGUUGUCACACUGAAUUGAUGGGGUAAGUUUAACACCUGCACUAUCCUCAUUUUACAGCGCUCCACUAAUUGGUAUACGUAGUAUACCAUACAUUUCCUGUAUAUCUAAGAUUUAUUUUAGGAAAAGGGUAUUCCACUGUGUGUAGAAUUGCUUUUUAAUUUAGGCACUUUAUUAUAUCACUUACUUUCUCCUAGUAGAGGUAGAUUUUUGUUCUUAUUGUUUAGAACAGAGAAAUGCCUAAAAAUAGCCCCUACCCCUUCUUCCGCUUUCUGAUCUGUGAGCUAGUAAGUUACAUACCCAGUGAGCGCUACGGAAUCUGAUGGCGCUAUACAAAUAAUAAAAUAAUAAUAAUAAUAUGUGGGCCAAAGUGAGCCCAAUCCUUUAGGUCUAUUAAAAAGCAAAACAAACACACAAACAUUCUGCUAAAUAUAUGAUCAGGGAAUGUUCUUUCCACUAGGUCAGUGGUUCCAAACCCAGUCCUCAAGUACCUUAUAACAGUCCAGGUUUUAGGGAUUACCCAGUUGUGUCUAAGGUGUUUUAAGAAGAAAAAAAACAGGUUAGACACAACACGGUAAUCCCUAAAUCCUGGCCUGGUAUACUUAAGAACUGGGUUGGGAACCCCUGCCCUAUUUCCAAGUGAUAACCCUUCAAUAUGGGUCUCCAAGCCACUAGCAACCCCCUAAUAUACCUACCACCCUACUUACUCACUUACCU